CCGAGUGAUCUAUCCAUGAGCAGGUUGAAGCUGUGGUAACACACAGUGGAGGACCGAACCCGUUGACGUUGAAAAGUCUUGGGAUGACUUGUGGAUAGGGGUGAAAGGCCAAUCAAACUCGGAAAUAGCUCGUACUCCCCGAAAUGCAUUUAGGUGCAGCGUUGUAAUAGUUUUAUAGAGGUAGAGCUACUGAUUGGAUGCGGGGGUUUCACCACCUACCAAUUCCUGAUAAACUCCGAAUGCUAUAAAAUGUUUUACAGCAGUGAGGGCAUGGGUGCUAAGGUCCAUGUCCGAGAGGGAAACAACCCGGACCACCAGCUAAGGUCCCUAAGUGUAUACUAAGUUGAUUAAACGAGGUUUGACUGCCCAGACAGCUAGGAUGUUGGCUUGGAAGCAGCCAUUCAUUUAAAGAGUGCGUAACAGCUCACUAGUCGAGCGGUCGAGCAUGGAUAAUAAUCGGGCAUAAGUAUAUCACCGAAGCUGUGGCAUUGCAAGAUGGGUAGGGGAGCAUUCUAUAUGCGUCGAAGGUAGACUGUGAGGUUUGCUGGAGCGUAUAGAAAAGAAAAUGUAGGCAUAAGUAACGACAAUGCAGGUGAGAAACCUGCACACCGAAAGACUCAGGUUUCCUCAGCUAUGCUAAUCAGCUGAGGGUUAGUCGGGACCUAACGCGAACCCGAAUGGGGUAGUGGAUGGACAACGGGUUAAUAUUCCCGUACCCGCCGGCGCUAAAAGUGACGGAGAACAAAAGAUAUUGCGUACUGACGGAAAUGUACGUUGAAACCAUUGUAGAGGUGGUGAUAGUACACCAAGGCUUCGGCUGCGGUGAUAAUAUAUCGGAUGAUCUUCCAAGAAAAACAAGCCAGGCGGCCCGUACCGUAAACCGACACAGGUAGUUGGGAUGAGAAUUCUAAGGUGCUCGAGAGAUUCAUGGCUAAGGAACUAGGCAAAAUUGGCCCGUAACUUCGGGAGAAGGGUCGCCCACAGUAAUGUGGGCCGCAGUGAAAAGGUCCAGGCGACUGUUUAUCAAAAACACAGGACUCUGCUAAGUCGAAAGACGAUGUAUAGGGUCUGACACCUGCCCGGUGCCGGAAGGUUAAGUGGAGAUGUCAUCUUCGGAGAAGCAUUAAAAUGAAGCCCCGGUAAACGGCGGCCGUAACUAUAACGGUCCUAAGGUAGCGAAAUUCCUUGUCGGGUAAGUUCCGACCUGCACGAAUGGUGUAACGAUCUGGACACUGUCUCAGCCAUGAGCUCGGUGAAAUUGUAGUAUCGGUGAAGAUGCCGAUUACCCGCUACGGGACGAAAAGACCCCGUGCACCUUUACUAUAGCUUCGUAUUGACCUUGGAUAAGUAAUGUGUAGGAUAGGUGGGAGACUUUGAAAUGGCGUCGCCAGGCGCUGUGGAGUCAUUGUUGAAAUACCACCCUUG
This 1425-nucleotide ribosomal RNA is filed under the name marine metagenome. Its description in RNAcentral is "bacterial LSU rRNA". It matches the Rfam family "Bacterial large subunit ribosomal RNA", at positions 721 to 2208 of the family's 2925-position model. The record is from RNAcentral.